Molecule: long non-coding RNA, 875 nt
Organism: Syngnathus acus (greater pipefish)
Lineage: Eukaryota; Metazoa; Chordata; Actinopteri; Syngnathiformes; Syngnathidae
Exons: 2
Source: RefSeq, a predicted model, not a curated record
AGCGUCCCCUCGGACCUGCAGCGAGGCAGCAAAGCGUUGCUAUUGGCCGUGGUUCUGAUUCGAUGGGCGGCCAUGACCGCAGCGGAUUCACUGCGAAGCCGCCGCCGACAACGCCGCCGUGGAGCUUCGCCUGUCGGUCUGCUUCUGCUGGAGUCUCCGCCGACGAGCGAGUGAGCGAGGGAGUGGGAGGGACCGGGGGUGGGGGGCGCCCGUCCGCCCGCCCGCCAGGCCAGCAGCGGCCAGCCCGGCUGAUGUCACCCGGUAAGGGAGGAGGGGCUGAGGCCCUUCGAGGAGGAGGAGGAGGGGCGCGCGAGGCUCCCCGCAGGACGUCAUCGGCACCGCCGCACGUAGAAAAUGUGAAAUGCUGUCGAAAUGGAACAUUAAACCAUUUUGUUGCGAUGUCCUCAAAAGCAGUCGCAGCAGCAAUUGCUUGAAACUUGACACACGCCUCCACUUCUUUGCCAAGCGAGCAACCCGGCGGGCGGGCGGGCGUGCGGGGUCCUUGGACCUGUAUCCUCCGUGGAGCGCGUCGAGCGUGGCCAAUUUGGACGGGCUUGUUGCGAAUUUGGUUGCUAGGGCAAUAAGACGCGUUCACAAUCCACUCGGGAUGGAUUCUUCGUUUUCCUCGUUUGUGGAUCAGCAGCAGGCGUCGGUCGUCACGGUAACGGGAACCAGCCAUCUUUUUAUUUUUCAAAGCGCUCCUCGAGGGGGGAGGGCUCAAAAUGACGCGCAUCUUGUUGUUGGCGGCGUCGCUUCCAGCUGCGACCAAAGAAAGACAGGAAGCGUCCGAAACAAAAGAGGGAACGACAGUUCCCGGUUCGGCUCGUACUAUCCGUCAGAAAUGUUGAUUGCAGAUGCUUCUCCUUCUACUCGAG